Molecule: ribosomal RNA, 218 nt
Filed under: uncultured bacterium
Lineage: Bacteria
Description: partial 16S ribosomal RNA
Rfam family: Bacterial small subunit ribosomal RNA
Source: RNAcentral
CGUGAGGAACCUGCCUUGAAGAGGGGGGAAACAGUUGGAAACGACUGCUAAUAUCGCAUGACGCAUAGAGGUCGCAUGAUCUUUAUGCCAAAGAUUUAUCGCUUCAAGAUGGCCUCGCGUCUGAUUAGCUAGUUGGCGGGGUAACGGCCCACCAAGGCGACGAUCAGUAGCCGGACUGAGAGGUUGAACGGCCACAUUGGGACUGAGACACGGCCCAG